CGCAUGCGUUUAUACGGUUCUGAAUAACAGUAGUCACAAAUUGAAAAAUCGAAUAUUUUCCCAUAAGCACUCUGCUUAAAACAUCGUACAUUGUUUUUAUUUCAAUGUUUUAUCUAUUAAACCUCUCUGUAUCAGAAUGAAAGUCAAAGAAAAUCAAUGUUUUACCUAGACUUAUUAUUUAUGAAAUAAGCGAUGUUUAUCAACAAAGUUAACAAUAUAUUGAAAUUAUUGCAUUUAAUAUUUACAGGUUUUCAGCACUUCAUACCAGAGCGAUUUCAUCUUAAAAGAUGUGAAGAGUUCCACUGUUGGUGGUAUAGUAGGAGCUAUGUUCAUCGUGAUUAUAAUGGCAGGUCUUUUAGAGGGAUUUAAACACUGGCUGUACAUUCGACAGAAAAAGAUCAGACCACACUCAAGUUAAAGAUAAAUGAAGGCAUUUCACUUCCACUUCAGUUUUCGUAUAACUGCUGCCCUACACAAUAUGUUAUCGAUGACCGUUGGCUACCUUCUGAUGCUAUGUGUAAUGACACUGAACAUGUGGAUGCUGGUUUAUGUCAUAGUUGGCGCUGGAAUAGACUACUUACUUCCACGCCUAGCUGUAAGCGCCUGCUAUACAACAAGUAGGACCAAGAACUAUUGCAAUGAAAUAGGGAAACAUGAGGAAAUGAGUUUUGUAAAAUAUUGAAAGGACACACAUUGACAACGAUUACCUUGUCCUGAAGUGUUUUAACAAAUGUCAGUAUUAAAGACAAACGAGAGCAGUGAAAAAUAUUGAAAUCUGUCCUCUGCUAUCAAGUUACAUAAACAUGUUCAGUUUGGUUAAAGAUAUAUUUGUUGUUAUUUUGUUACACAUGAUAUGAAUGGUUUGUACGUACAUUUAAACAUCGUUAAUCUGAAAUCCUCGGGACCAAGAUAAAAAAAUGAAAUAACGCUAUUUUGGAGGUUACAAUUUUGACAAAAUCACAGCGUUUACGAAUUAUUGAUAACGUAAAAUAGUAAGUCGUGAAGAUUACAAUGUCGGUUACGAGUUACCAACAUGUUGCAUGUGGUUUGAAUAAUAGUUAGUGUAGAGGUUUGUCGAAUUAUUUUUUAAGAAAGGACAACUAAUUUGUUAUUAUAAUUCCUUGAUACUUUUUUAUUAACAUUUCACUUUAAUUUUUGUAUUAUCAACAGAAAAUUGCUAUUUGAUUUCCUCGUGUUUUUUGUUUUGUUUUUUUCAAACUUAUUCCUUAAUGUCGUUCUUGAACAAGCGCUUAUUGUGGCUUCACUAUCACCUCAAGCCGAUGCCCGAGUGCUAUCGCACUACGGUGUGAAAGACUAUGAGAGUAUUGUGUUUGAAAUAAGGAUUGAUAUAUAGGUGUGACGUAAAAAAUCGGGACCGUAAUUUUUGUUCGAACAAGCGAUUAUUUCGAAAUAACGAUAAUUGCGGGUAAACGGUGUUCGGAAUAGUGGUGUUUAAAUGUAAUAUUUUUUUAAUGCUAUAACAUUACUGGGUAAAAAAGUUUACCCAUGUGUGUCAUACGCACUUAUUAUUCAAACACAAAGUAAGCUGCAUAUCCCGCUUUAAUUAACAAUAGCAUUUGAUAAACAUGUUGACAAAUAUUAACACAUAUACUUGUUAGUUUGUCGAGUAACUAUUCGUUUUUUUAUUUUAUUGAAGCUGGUAUUGUUG
This is a long non-coding RNA of Mya arenaria, 1669 nucleotides long. RefSeq lists it as uncharacterized. The transcript is spliced from 3 exons. The record is from RefSeq and is a predicted model, not a curated record. NCBI's taxonomy places the organism in Eukaryota, Metazoa, Mollusca, Bivalvia, Myida, Myidae.